Molecule: ribosomal RNA, 427 nt
Filed under: uncultured beta proteobacterium
Lineage: Bacteria; Pseudomonadati; Pseudomonadota; Betaproteobacteria
Description: bacterial SSU rRNA
Rfam family: Bacterial small subunit ribosomal RNA
Source: RNAcentral
AGUGGGGAAUUUUGGACAAUGGGCGCAAGCCUGAUCCAGCCAUGCCGCGUGAGUGAAGAAGGCCUUCGGGUUGUAAAGCUCUUUCGGUGAAGACGAAACGGUUAGCGCUAAUAACGCUGACUAAUGACGGUACUCACAGAAGAAGCACCGGCUAACUACGUGCCAGCAGCCGCGGUAAUACGUAGGGUGCAGGCGUUAAUCGGAAUUACUGGGCGUAAAGCGUGCGCAGGCGGUUUGUUAAGACAGGUGUGAAAUCCCCGGGCUUAACCUGGGAAUUGCGCUUGUAACUGGCAAGCUAGAGUGUGGCAGAGGGGGGUGGAAUUCCACGUGUAGCAGUGAAAUGCGUAGAUAUGUGGAGGAACACCGAUGGCGAAGGCAGCCCCCUGGGUUAACACUGACGCUCAUGCACGAAAGCGUGGGGAGCAAA